GGGCCCGCACAAGCGGUGGAGCAUGUGGUUUAAUUCGACGCAACGCGAAGAACCUUACCUGGGUUUGACAUGUGCAGGAUCAGUGAUGAAAGUCACUCUCCCUUCGGGGCCUGUGCACAGGUGCUGCAUGGCUGUCGUCAGCUCGUGUCGUGAGAUGUUGGGUUAAGUCCCGCAACGAGCGCAACCCUUGCCCUCUGUUGCUACCGGGUCAUGCCGGGCACUCUGAGGGGACUGCCCCGGUGAACGGGGAGGAAGGUGGGGAUGACGUCAAGUCCUCAUGGCCUUUAUGUCCAGGGCUACACACGUGCUACAAUGGUCAGGACAAUGGGUCGCUCCCUCGCAAGAGGUUGCCAAUCUCAAAAACCUGGCCCUAGUUCGGAUGGUCGGCUGCAACUCGCCGGCCUGAAGCUGGAAUCGCUAGUAAUCGGAGAUCAGCACGCUCCGGUGAAUACGUUCCCGGGCCUU
This 465-nucleotide ribosomal RNA is filed under the name uncultured bacterium. RNAcentral's name for it is "bacterial SSU rRNA". It matches the Rfam family "Bacterial small subunit ribosomal RNA", at positions 917 to 1382 of the family's 1533-position model. The record is from RNAcentral.